UACGUAGGUGGCAAGCGUUGUCCGGAUUUAUUGGGUUUAAAGGGUGCGUAGGCGGCCUUGUAAGUCAGUAGUGAAAUACCCCAGCUUAACUGGGGGGGUGCUAUUGAUACUGGAGGGCUUGAGUACAGAUGAGGUAGGCGGAAUUGACGGUGUAGCGGUGAAAUGCAUAGAUAUCGUCAAGAACACCGAUAGCGAAGGCAGCUUACUAAGUUGUAACUGACGCUGAGGCACGAAAGUGUGGGGAUCAAACAGG
Molecule: ribosomal RNA, 253 nt
Filed under: uncultured prokaryote
Description: partial 16S ribosomal RNA
Rfam family: Bacterial small subunit ribosomal RNA
Source: RNAcentral